GACCGCUCCGGUGGCCUAGUGGUUACAGCGUCCGCCUUGGAUGUGGGAGUUUGCAGGUUCGAACCCUGGCCGAGUCA
Non-coding RNA from Potamilus streckersoni, 77 nucleotides. Lineage: Eukaryota; Metazoa; Mollusca; Bivalvia; Unionida; Unionidae. The record is from the annotation of a GenBank genome assembly.